This 375-nucleotide ribosomal RNA is filed under the name uncultured organism. RNAcentral describes it as "partial 16S ribosomal RNA". It matches the Rfam family "Bacterial small subunit ribosomal RNA", at positions 527 to 896 of the family's 1533-position model. The record is from RNAcentral.
GUAGGUGGCAAGCGUUGUCCGGGAAUUAUUGGGGCGUAAAGCGCGCGCAGGCGGUUCUUUAAGCCUGAUGUGAAAGCCCACGGGCUCAACCGUGGAGGGUCAUUGGAAACUGGAGAACUUGAGUACAGAAGAGGAAAGCGGAAUUCCACGUGUAGCGGUGAAAUGCGUAGAGAUGUGGAGGAACACCAGUGGCGAAGGCGGCUUUCUGGUCUGUAACUGACGCUGAGGCGCGAAAGCGUGGGGAGCAAACAGGAUUAGAUACCCUGGUAGUCCACGCCGUAAACGAUGAGUGCUAAGUGUUAGGGGGUUUCCGCCCCUUAGUGCUGCAGCUAACGCAUUAAGCACUCCGCCUGGGGAGUACGGCCGCAAAGGCUG